This is a non-coding RNA of Nomia melanderi (Alkali bee), 810 nucleotides long. Lineage: Eukaryota; Metazoa; Arthropoda; Insecta; Hymenoptera; Halictidae. The record is from RefSeq and is a predicted model, not a curated record.
CUUCUCUGGAACGUUCACCAAUCACAACAAUGGCGGAUGCAAUUCGGUCAGUUCACUGAAACGCACGAUUAACUCACCGUGAAGCUAAACCGCGUUUUAGACCAAAUUCAUUUUACAUUCGCAUCUUACUCGCGGUGAAACGGAUCCCUUAACGGCGUUCCUAUGACAAUUAGUCCGGUUUUUCUUAAGAUAUCCUACAGACAAACGCACAAAAGCAAUAUCGGCCGACAUGUAAGAUUUUCGUUCGGAGCCACUUUAAGGGGCCAAGCGGGGUCGCCGAUAGGCUGCGUGUGACGUGGUUGCGUUUAUUGACCAUAACCCCUUCCUACUCCCGUCUGCAACUUCACGACGGACAGGUGUACGACCCAAGAGACCGCAAAACAAUUGACCGAACCGACCGCGUCUUAAAAUACACGACGACAUUGUCAAACAGCCGUGAACUCUCUUGGAAUGUUCGGCCACCUUAUCCUCUUCGUUAAUGGUGAUCUCAGCCUUUUUUUCAUUCGAUAAUAUGAUCUUUCCAUGGAAAUAUUCAAUUUACGAGGAAACGGCGAAACUUACGCAGGUGAACACUCUAAAAGGAUUCACGUUUUCGAACUUCCGAGUUACGAAAACACUUUGAUGCAACAGACUUUGAAUUAGUCUAUAAUGUUUCAUUAUAUUUGUUAUUAUCUUCCAUGACAUUACGCUUCAAAGUUUUGCAAUAUUUUCGAACUCAUAUGUGCGGGACUCAGCGGUAUUUUCUAGGUUGUACGUAAAGGUGUUGCAUAAUUUGGUUGCAUCCUAUGCUAGAGGUAUCUAGAACAGUAG